RNAcentral lists this long non-coding RNA (2689 nucleotides) under Triticum aestivum (bread wheat). RNAcentral describes it as "long non-coding RNA (TAES_LNC018823)". Lineage: Eukaryota; Viridiplantae; Streptophyta; Magnoliopsida; Poales; Poaceae. The record is from RNAcentral.
CCAUUCUGUUCAUGCCUAGCACAACAACAAAUUGAAGAGAACCUACAUUACAUGGCAUAAAAUCCAGUUAAGAAGAAAAUCUAAUGUGAUAUGUAACUAUAUGGAUACACUUGAGUUGUUAUAAUUAUUGAGGAAUUUAGAAUGGCAAAUUUAAGAAAAUAAUUCAAAUUAUUGCUUUUUCUAUAGAGGCCCUAUAACCUGAAUAUAGCUGCACAGAAGAUCAUCAGGUAAAAAAAAACUUUAGUAGAUUCAUGAAAAGCAAAUGCCAAGAUAAAAAGUCUGACAUAACUGUCCAGAUUUUGUAUCAACCAGUCAUAUAUAUACAAGCAUUUUGCCUCUAUAAACCACAUUUUAAUGGUGGAGUAAUCAAUCUGAACAAUUUUAAAUUAAAAACAAAAUAUCUAAAGACUAAGCUCUAGUUCAUGUAUUUUAGAGAAGUUCAGUUCGGCAAAACUACGGAAGCAAAGGUCUGAAGAUAUCGAUACACGUCAAACUAUGUAUUUCCAUCAGCCUAGAAAUUCCGAGAACUACAUGGUACCGAUACACGUCGAACUCUGUUAAAGGGGUACAGUUACAAGGCCAGAAAGGUGGUUCAAGUAACGAUGCAGGGUGCUGAACAGACCUGCUUCAACUUCCUCAGAGAUUCUUCUGCAUCUGCUAGCUUCUCUGAAACUGUUUUCUCAAGAUCAGAAGAGUAACCUUUUCCUUCUUCCAUGUUUCAGAGGUAGUAUUUGAGUGUGAGCAAAGAGCCUUCCACACAGAAGAACUGUUGAAAAGACAAGUAACAGCAAGAUCUUUCCUACACAAGCAACAGCAAAGAAUUGUUGAGAGUAUCAUCAAAUUUAAUUUUUUUGAACUUUUAUGACAAAUUUUGACCCAAAAAAAGUUCUCAGAAUUUUUUAAAUUUUCACAGAUCAUCAACCAUACCGGGUGUAGCAAUGUAGCACGUUGAGAGCAUAGUCAAAAUUAAAAUUUAAAAAGUUCUCGGUUUUUUUGAAUUUUUCACAAAUCAUCAAACCUACCAAAUGUACUAAUCUGGGAAAUUUUACACAAAAAAUAUGAAUAAUUCCUAGAAGGCAGGCAGUGGUAAGCGAAUAAAUUUCAGUUCAAAUCGGCAUUCCAAAUAUCAGCCAGUUAAUUGGCAUCUCGGUGAGUUAACCGCUACUCGGUUGGUCAGCGAAUUCACCUAUUUAUCCCUACUCAGCACCCGACCAAUAUGGUACCAAUUACCGAUAUCUUGAACAUUGCAAAUCGGGUAUCUAAACUAUUCUCUCAGCAGUAUAAUUGCAUUCUUAUAGAAAAGAAAGCAAGUAAAAAGUAGGAGGUACUUUCUAGAAAGCAGCAAGAUUGAAGUAUACACUGAUUUAUUUGUAAGAUGUAUCAUUAUUAUAUUCAACAUAUAACAUGGUUGACAACAAUAGGGGGCAGAAAUAAAUAUUGCUAGAGCUUUGAACAAAAGCUAAUUACUAUAGCUCUGUAUCGUUGCAUGUUGUUAUCUGAAUUCAGUAAAUCUACUAUGCUUGUGCUCUUUAGGAAACAUCUCCAAAGAUUUGCAACAAUUCCAGUAUAACAUCUCCAGGUUUUUGAAGUCAUGUUCAUUAUUAUUCUUUCGUAUAGAGUUGUUUACUAAUUUCAGUUCUUCUUGAAACAUCACACAUCACUGGCUACUGCUUCUUUUCCAAAAUGGGAAUGCGCCAAAAAUACAUAGCCUAAAAUUACAUAAUACAACCUUGACCAACAGUUUGCGAGAAGAACUUCAGAAAAGAAGGGAAUAUUAAGAAAAAAAGAAACAGAGAAAUAUUGUAAUGGUUACGAAGUUGUCUUUAUGAAUGUGAUCAGCACUUCUAAGGUAAUAUUGCAAGGUGCACAACACCUUGUAAGUUGCAGAAACACAUAUGGGGAUCUUCAAAAAACUCAAACCUUCGAAGCACUGUCACUGUAUAAAUAGUAAAUUCUAAUUCUUGGGAACUUAGAAAUAUAAAAUCAGUGCUGACAUGACAGUGGAGAGCAUAGUGAACACAAUAGUGCUUAAGAAAUUUGUCUGCGGUCUUCUCUAGAUAUGGUUAUAACAUCACCUUGCAUGAAUACAUCAUGUUAUAGUUGAGGGCAUUGGACAACCUCUACAUGCACUGGGUGGUCUAUUUAAUAUUCUUAAAAGAUCCAUGUCAAAAGAUAAGAAUUUGACGGUAUAAGUAGAAGAACACAUGUGUAGUUAUUGAUAGAAACAGAGAAGUAACUAUAAUCCAAACAAUGCUUCAGCAAGAAAACAUACUUGCUCUUAACUGGACAGUAGUCAUUGCUCGCGAAAUGUUGUUGGCCAUCUGAAGAGCAGGUGCGGGAGAGAGACGAGUGGCGGCCUAAUUUUGGCUGUCAUAAGUGUCGGGAUCCGCCUCCCUUAGGUUCUUCACAUCGAGGACUGGCCUGAAUUUAUUUGGGUGUCGGUUCCCUGACUCUUGGAAUGUAACAAAGGAUCAAUGGAUUAGUAACAAAACUAACUGAUUGUAGCUUGUAUACGUUAUAUGUACUCACUAUUUUACUGAGACAUAUCAACACUAUAAUGCAGAAAAUGCAUGCAGAUCAACAUAACUGCACAAAAACCACCCAUGCACGACACUGAAAAUUGUACGAGAGGCUAGAGCUAUUUUGUGCUGAUCGAAACAAUAUAUAUUCAAGGAAAUCUGUAUUUAUA